RNAcentral lists this ribosomal RNA (376 nucleotides) under uncultured Sphingomonas sp. Its description in RNAcentral is "bacterial SSU rRNA". It matches the Rfam family "Bacterial small subunit ribosomal RNA", at positions 152 to 561 of the family's 1533-position model. Lineage: Bacteria; Pseudomonadati; Pseudomonadota; Alphaproteobacteria; Sphingomonadales; Sphingomonadaceae. The record is from RNAcentral.
GGAAACGACAGCUAAUACCGGCAUGAUGACGUAAGUCCAAAGAUUUAUCGCCAGAGGAUGAGCCCGCGUCGGAUUAGCUAGUUGGUGGGGUAAAGGCCCACCAAGGCGACGAUCCGUAGCGGGUCUGAGAGGAUGAUCAGCCACACUGGGACUGAGACACGGCCCAGACUCCUACGGGAGGCAGCAGUGGGGAAUAUUGGACAAUGGGCGAAAGCCUGAUCCAGCAAUGCCGCGUGAGUGAUGAAGGCCUUAGGGUUGUAAAGCUCUUUUACCCGGGAUGAUAAUGACAGUACCGGGAGAAUAAGCUCCGGCUAACUCCGUGCCAGCAGCCGCGGUAAUACGGAGGGAGCUAGCGUUGUUCGGAAUUACUGGGCGU